Molecule: ribosomal RNA, 253 nt
Filed under: uncultured bacterium
Lineage: Bacteria
Description: partial 16S ribosomal RNA
Rfam family: Bacterial small subunit ribosomal RNA
Source: RNAcentral
UACGGAGGGAGCUAGCGUUGUUCGGAAUUACUGGGCGUAAAGCGCGCGUAGGCGGCUUUGUAAGUUAGAGGUGAAAGCCCGGGGCUCAACCCCGGAAUUGCCUUUAAGACUGCAUCGCUUGAAUCCGGGAGAGGUGAGUGGAAUUCCGAGUGUAGAGGUGAAAUUCGUAGAUAUGGGGAGGAACACCGGUGGCGAAGGCGGCCACCUGGACGGUCACUGACGCUGAGACGCGAAAGCGUGGGGAGCAAACAGG